CUUUUACAAUGAAGAGUUUGAUCCUGGCUCAGGAUGAACGCUAGCUACAGGCUUAACACAUGCAAGUCGAGGGGUAGCAGGGUAGCAAUACCGCUGACGACCGGCGCACGGGUGAGUAACACGUAUCCAACCUACCAUUCACACGGGGAUAGCCUUUCGAAAGAAAGAUUAAUACCCGAUAGUAUAGCGAUAAGGCAUCUUAUUGCUAUUAAAGAAUUUCGGUGUUUGAUGGGGAUGCGUUCCAUUAGAUUGUUGGUGAGGUAACGGCUCACCAAGUCUUCGAUGGAUAGGGGUUCUGAGAGGAAGGUCCCCCACAUUGGAACUGAGACACGGUCCAAACUCCUACGGGAGGCAGCAGUGAGGAAUAUUGGUCAAUGGACGAGAGUCUGAACCAGCCAAGUAGCGUGAAGGAUGAAGGCCCUAU
Molecule: ribosomal RNA, 424 nt
Filed under: Lactobacillus delbrueckii
Lineage: Bacteria; Bacillati; Bacillota; Bacilli; Lactobacillales; Lactobacillaceae
Description: bacterial SSU rRNA
Rfam family: Bacterial small subunit ribosomal RNA
Source: RNAcentral